RNAcentral lists this long non-coding RNA (432 nucleotides) under Macaca mulatta (Rhesus monkey). RNAcentral's name for it is "lncRNA (ENSMMUG00000054970.1)". Lineage: Eukaryota; Metazoa; Chordata; Mammalia; Primates; Cercopithecidae. The record is from RNAcentral.
CAGGCAGCCGCAGGUGGAUCUUCAUACAAGGCCAGAUUUCUACCACAGUUCAGUCUCAGAGUUUAACACUUCUCUAACAGCCACGUAGAACAGACAUUCUUCAGCUAGGAGUUUGAAGGCUCCCCAGUCGAGCCUCACAAUUGCCCACCCAAUCCUUUCUACCGCUGGGAUGCCCAUGCACCAGCAGUUACCAAGAAAGAAGACACAAACUAUAGCUGCAACACUGAGGGAUCCAGGGAAGGUGAGACCUUUGACAUGGAAGCUAGAGCUGAGUUGGCCAAAGAAACCUGGGGAGAAGGACCACGAAGCCCCAGGUGGGUAGCACCACGUAAGUGGAAAUCCACCACCACAUGUGCCACUACACACAGCUCAUAGAUUCCUUUUGUUUUCUUUUUCAGUGGACACUGAGUAAAUUUAUAUUUUCUUGUACAG